This 301-nucleotide unclassified non-coding RNA is filed under the name uncultured fungus. Its description in RNAcentral is "sequence contains ITS2". The stretch from base 1 to 52 matches the Rfam family "5.8S ribosomal RNA", at positions 103 to 154 of the family's 154-position model. The record is from RNAcentral. Lineage: Eukaryota; Fungi.
AACGCACCUUGCGCUCCUUGGUAUUCCGAGGAGCAUGCCUGUUUGAGUGUCAUUAAAUUCUCAACCCAUUCAGUUUUAAUGACUGAUAUGCGGCUUGGAUAUUGGGGGUGUUUGCAGGCCUUACACUAAGGUCAGCUCCCCUGAAAUACAUUAGCAGAACGGUUUGCAAUCCGUCACUGGUGUGAUAAUUAUCUACGCCAUAGGAUUGCUCUCAGUGUUGUUCAGCUUCUAAUGGUCCCUUCAUAAGGACAACUUUUGACAGUUUGACCUCAAAUCAGGUAGGACUACCCGCUGAACUUAA